AUUUAGCCAUGCUAGUCGAGCGAGUUCAGACUCGCGGCGCAUAGCUCAGUAACACGUGGCCAAGCUACCCUUCAGUCAGCGAUACCCUCGGGAAACUGAGGUUAACAGCUGAUACAAAACGCCAGCUGGAAUGCGGCGUUUCAGAAAGAGAUCGCUGAGGGAUGCGGCUGCGGCCGAUUAGGUAGACGGUGGGGUAACGGCCCACCGUGCCAGUAAUCGGUACGGGUGAUGAGAGUCAGAGCCCGGAGACGGAAUCUGAGACAAGAUUCCGGGCCCUACGGGGCGCAGCAGGCGCGAAACCUUUACACUGCACGGAACGUGCGAUAGGGGAAUCCCAAGUGCGAGGGCAUAUUAGCCCUCGCUUUUCUCGACUGUAAGGUGGUCGACGAAUAAGAGCUGGCAAGACCGGUGCCAGCCGCCGCGGUAAUACCGGCAGCUCAAGUGAUGUCCCAUAUUAUUGGGCCUAAAGCGUCCGUAGCU
Molecule: ribosomal RNA, 480 nt
Filed under: uncultured haloarchaeon
Lineage: Archaea; Methanobacteriati; Methanobacteriota; Halobacteria; Halobacteriales; Halobacteriaceae
Description: bacterial SSU rRNA
Rfam family: Archaeal small subunit ribosomal RNA
Source: RNAcentral